UGGGGAAUCUUCCGCAAUGGACGAAAGUCUGACGGAGCAACGCCGCGUGAGUGAAGAAGGUUUUCGGAUCGUAAAACCCUGUCUUUUGGGGCGAACGUGAGUAUGGUGAACAAUCAUAGUCAGUGACGGUACCAAAGGAGGAAGCCACGGCUAACUACGUGCCAGCAGCCGCGGUAAUACGUAGGUGGCAAGCGUUGUCCGGAAUUAUUGGGCGUAAAGAGCGCGUAGGCGGGAUAGUCAGUCUGUUGUAAAGUGCGGGGCUCAACCCCGUGAUCGCAAUGGAAACAGCUAUUCUUGAGUGCAGGAGAGGAAAGGUGGAAUUCCCAGUGUAGCGGUGAAAUGCGUAGAUAUUGGGAGGAACACCAGUGGCGAAGGCGACUUUCUGGACUGUGUCUGACGCUGAGGCGCGAAAGCCAGGGGGAGCGAACGGGAUUAGAUACCCCCGGUAGUCCUGGCCGUAAACGAUGGGUACUAGGUGUGGGAGGUAUCGACCCCCUUUCCGUGCCGGAGUUAACGCAAUAAGUACCCCGCCUGGGGAGUACGGUCGCAAGACUGAAACUUAAAUGAAUUGACGGGGGUCAUAGCUGUUUCCUG
This 594-nucleotide ribosomal RNA is filed under the name uncultured bacterium. Its description in RNAcentral is "partial 16S ribosomal RNA". It matches the Rfam family "Bacterial small subunit ribosomal RNA", at positions 355 to 941 of the family's 1533-position model. The record is from RNAcentral.